GGGCCUGUAGCUCACUGGUAGAGUAUCGCCUUGGCAUGGCGGGGGCAGCGAGUUCGAUUCUCGCCAGGUCCA
This 72-nucleotide transfer RNA is filed under the name archaeon. RNAcentral's name for it is "tRNA-Ala". It matches the Rfam family "tRNA". Rfam says of the family: Transfer RNA (tRNA) molecules are approximately 80 nucleotides in length. The record is from RNAcentral.